RNAcentral lists this ribosomal RNA (331 nucleotides) under uncultured Klebsiella sp. Its description in RNAcentral is "bacterial SSU rRNA". It matches the Rfam family "Bacterial small subunit ribosomal RNA", at positions 1011 to 1342 of the family's 1533-position model. The record is from RNAcentral. Lineage: Bacteria; Pseudomonadati; Pseudomonadota; Gammaproteobacteria; Enterobacterales; Enterobacteriaceae.
UUGGUGCCUUCGGGAACUGUGAGACAGGUGCUGCAUGGCUGUCGUCAGCUCGUGUUGUGAAAUGUUGGGUUAAGUCCCGCAACGAGCGCAACCCUUAUCCUUUGUUGCCAGCGGUUAGGCCGGGAACUCAAAGGAGACUGCCAGUGAUAAACUGGAGGAAGGUGGGGAUGACGUCAAGUCAUCAUGGCCCUUACGAGUAGGGCUACACACGUGCUACAAUGGCAUAUACAAAGAGAAGCGACCUCGCGAGAGCAAGCGGACCUCAUAAAGUAUGUCGUAGUCCGGAUUGGAGUCUGCAACUCGACUCCAUGAAGUCGGAAUCGCUAGUAAU